This 557-nucleotide long non-coding RNA is filed under the name Lactuca sativa (garden lettuce). RNAcentral describes it as "long non-coding RNA (LSAT_LNC004200)". The record is from RNAcentral. Lineage: Eukaryota; Viridiplantae; Streptophyta; Magnoliopsida; Asterales; Asteraceae.
GUAACAGCCCAAAAUCUCAAGUAUUGCUAAGUUGCAUUUUGGGGGUGUUUUAAAGGGGAGACUCGACGAGUUGGAGCCAGACUCGCCGAGUAGGGUCGCAGGUUUGGUCGCGGGUUCACGACUGGACUCGACGAGUCCAGAUAUGGACUCGGCGAGUCGACGCUGUUCAGCGGAAACCCUAGCCGUUCAGUAUUGGGUUGUAUAUAAGGGUUAUUAUGCCGUCAUUUCACGACUUUUGAUCGAUUGGGAAGAACCCUAGGCGACUGGGGCGGCUAGAGCAAGCUUGAAGGCCAUUGGUGACCUUGAAGGAAUUGUGGUGCAAGGAGGAGAAGGGUUUUAGCUAAAGGAACUGCAGGGAGUUCGAGUUCUGAAGUUUGGGGACAUGGAAGGUACAUCAUUCAGGUAAUAAUUCGGAUUACAUUCUCCUGUGAUUGAUGUGUAUAUAGAUUUAGNAGGUAAUAAUUCGGAUUAUAUUCUCCUGUGAUUGAUGUGUAUAUAGAUUUAGGGUUUAUGGAACCCAUUUGGAGUCUAGAUGGAUUGUUGUGUUGUUAUUCAAC